RNAcentral lists this unclassified non-coding RNA (3854 nucleotides) under Diabrotica virgifera virgifera (western corn rootworm). RNAcentral's name for it is "alpha-tocopherol transfer protein-like". The record is from RNAcentral. Lineage: Eukaryota; Metazoa; Arthropoda; Insecta; Coleoptera; Chrysomelidae.
GUUUAAGUUAAGUUCUUUAGUCGUUCAGUCCGCGUGAAAUUAAUAAAACUAGUCCGCCACAGAUCAGCGUCGCUUCACUGUGUGGGACUUCUGUUUUUACACAAAAAUUUACUUUGCUUUCGUGUCGGUUUGCAAGUCUAGUCUGUGCUAGUUAAUUAUUUCUGUGAAUUUUUGGUACUCCUGCUGUAAUGGAACAAAAAGGCAAUACACAAAAUACUAAAUACCUUCAUCCUUUUUAUCAUGGAUUAAGGAAUGUUCCUGAAGGAAGGAUCAAGGAACUACAGAAGGUUAGAACUUGGGUUGCAGCACAACCUCAUUUACCCGAAGUAUCUGACGACUACAUUUACGUCUUUCUUAGCUCAUGUAAUUUCUCAGUGGACCGGGCCAAAAGCUGCAUAGAACAUUAUUUCACCAUCAAGACUAAUCAUCCUGCCAUAUUUGGAAAUAGAGAUCCUGAGGAUGACAAAGUGAAAUUGGUUAGGAGUUUGGGACACCUGUGGAGACUACCAAAACUAACACCAGAAGGAUAUAGAAUGGUUAUGUACGCUGUUAGAGAUGGAGAUCCAACCAAAAUGGUUUUCGGUGAUUGCGUCAAGACGUUUUGUAUGUUCAACGAUAUUGUUUUAUCAGAGGAUGGUAUCGAAGAUGGGUAUAUUGUAAUAUUCGAUAUGAAAGGAGUACAGUUAGGCCACUUAGCCCGAAUCAGCUUGCCAGCUUUAAGAUGCUUUUUCUUAUACAUCCAGGAAGCACAUCCAGUCAAAAUAAAAGGAGUACAUGUACUGAACACUGCUUCCUGGGUACAUCAUAUUAUGCGAAUUGUAAUACCUUUGGUCAAAUCAGAACUUCUGAGCUUAGUCAAAUUCCACAAAGGAAACAUCCCUGAAGGUCUUCCUUUGGAAAUAAUGCCAAAGGAAUAUGGCGGUGAAACAUCUUCCAUGGAAGAAUUAGACCAAGUUACGGAGCACUUAUGGGAAAAAUACCGACCGUGGCUCCUCGAAAACGAAACCUUAAAAACCAAUGAAAACAAAAGAAAUCAGAAGAAGUCCUCUUGGUGGGGAUUGCCUUUCUUCGGCAACAAAGAAGAACUCAACGAAAAGAAUAUUAUAAAAAAUUUGCGGUAUGAAUGAAACUCAUUUGAUUAAGUGUAGUUAGUGUAUUGUAAUUUUGUGGUGUUUUUUUACUUAUAUCUAAAGAAUUUUUCCUACUAAACCGAUUUUUCGUCAUCAUUCAGCUAUUUAAUUUUAAGUUGCCACAACCAUAUAACGUUUCUUUGUCGGGAAAAUAUUUAAAAAAUAUAGGAAUUUUUUUAACUGAAAAAACAGUCUAAUUUUUGUUAUAUUUAGAUUGGUUGCCAAACAUGCCAAAAAAUAAAGUAAAAAAGUAAUUUCAUGAUAGUUUUGAAUUAAGUACGUCUAAAUUAAAAUGUUGGAAUAUUCUUUGUUUUCCUUAAGGUACGUAUAGAUAUGCGCGCCGUGUAUGCGGUACGCGUUCGUGGCGGGUUCGUUAGAUCAGUACGCGUUAGGUGUUUUCAAGUGGCACACAAACAGUGCGCAUACGAUCCAAUUUCUGUCGGCGCCAAUAACGCACGGCGCACACACGGCGCGAAGUGCGCAGCGCGCAUAUCUAUACAUACUAUGUUCUGCCUAGUUAGAAGGUUAUCGAUUAUCAUUAGUAGUUGUUGUAUUCUGUUUACUGCUUCCUAAAAGUUUGUUGGAUGUGUAAUCAAAUCUUUUUAUCAUAUGUUAGUCAUGAAAUUCGUUUUCGUUGAUAUUUUAUUCAUAAAAAAAGUGUCAAAUAUAUAGAGAAAAAUAGAUUUUCUUCCAUUAGUGCAGUCACUGAAGGUGGAUAUGAGCUACUACCUCCGAUUUCGUUGAACCUCCAUCAAUUUUCAUGAAAAUUGGUGAGUGGUUCGAUGAUAUUUCAAGGAACAAAGGGGACAUGGUGCUAACUUGCCCUUUAACUCUGCGGUCACCCCUUUUUGGGGGUGAAAUUUAUUUUAUUAAAAAUAACCCCAGAAUUCGAUAGAGGGACAAAUGCUAUGCAACAUUUUUAUACAGUGCUAGUCAAAAGUCCGUACCCCCCCUCGUAUCUUUUAAACGGUUAUACCUAUAAUAGUGCAAUUUGGAGGGAGGAAAUAACCGGACGUAAGCUUCUUAACUAGUCAUGACAGUUGAAAUCAAGACUAAUAUAAAGACAUUCCUGUAAGGAGUACUAUAUAAAUUUUAAUUUUUGUGGAAAUAACGUAUGUUUGAUUUUUCACUUUUUCCUAAAAAAAUCCAAAGGGUCCUCUUAUUUUCAUCAUAAUUUGCUUAAUUUUGAUGCUAUUAUUUUCCUCUGGAGCUCAUUUGAUAGGUAUUCCUAAGUACUUGACAAGUGUUUAACAGGUAUAUUUUAUAAAAUGCAGCGUUUUCCCGUUAUUUAAGCUUGAAUACUUAGAUUUGAGUACUUGUCGAAAAAAAUAUACAUUCAAUUGCUCAUAACUCACUUUGAAUUGACAUGAGUGUAGUUCCAUAAGUGAGGAGUGUAUUUAUUUUUUUAUUAUCUUCAAUUUCGGUAAUAACUUUUUUUGUAAAAGCUUAUAGUUUUGAGUUAUAUGUGAAAAACCACUUUAAUAUAAUUUGCAUUUUUUUACGAAAAAAUAAAAUUUUUGAUAUAUAAUAAAUCAAAAGUAUUGAUUUAUAUUAAUAAAUUUAUAUAGCAAAUUUUGCUUAGAAUUUGUCGCUAUAUCAACUUAUGGUAUUAUUUUUAAUAAAAUAAUUUUCACCCCCGGAAAGGGGUGGCAUCCACCCCCAGGGUAAAAGCGCAAGUUGGUAUCAUGUCACCUUUGUUCCUUGAGGUAUCCUCUAAUUAUUCACUAAUUUUCAUGAAACUUGAUGGAGGUUCAAUGAAAUCGGAGGUGAAAACCUUCAGUGACUGCACUAUAUAUUUAUAUAGUGUACAUUUAUCACUUAGUUAGAUAAAUGAAUAGGAACUAUAAUUUUGACAAGAAUCUACAGGUCGAGCAAGUCUCGUAAAUUUCACGAUUGCGAGCCACGCUUCACGCAACCGUGUUUGCGUACUUGUGUUUCGAGUUGCGUGGUCGUGCGGAGUUAUAUUUACCAAAUUUAAAUAUAAUCGUUUUCAAAAUUAAAUCAAUAUGGCUACUGGGUGUAAAAGAUAAAUCUUAUUCUAUCUGUUCUUAAUGAGUUUUAGAUAAUUUUAGUUGUAUUUCUUUGUAAUUUUGUGUUGUACAAAGAUUAAUUUAACAUUUUCUCUGAAAGUAUUAAUUUAGAAAGAUAAUAUGCUUCAUUGGUGUUGUGUUUUGAAGUGUGAAAUGCAAAGUAAUUGUGAUAGUUAAAUGCAAGAUAAAGUUCACUUUUAAACUGAACUAAAUAAGGUAUCUGAGAGACAACAAUGGUUAAAUGCAAUACAAUGUACAGGUUUUACUAGCGAAAUGAAAAUUUUCCUGUCCUGUCUGCUGUAAUCAUUUUAUAUCUGGAAAACCAGCCGACUUAAUCGAUAAUAACAAUCUCCAGAUUGGGUUCCUUCAAUAAAUAUGGUCUAUAAACACAAUGAAAUAAGUUCCCCAAACUCUAAAAUGGAGUGGUAUCAAAGGAGAAUUAAAGGGAAAAAUAUUCAUAUUGAAAUUAUUUAUAAGGCACUGGACUGUCUUAAAUUCUACAAUAAUACUAGAAUCAGCUGAGAGAAGUGGUCUACAAAAAACCAUGAAGGAAACGGAAUAUGUGGCUACGAAAGGCAAAAGAAAGGUUUACAAAGCAAAUGUGACACAUCUUUUUGAAAUAUUUAGGAAUAUCAGUAAAUUGCAUUGAAAAAAUGUAUGAAAAGAUUUUGUUCAAUAAAAAUGUUUAUAUUUA